GAUGAACGCUGGCGGCGUGCCUAAUACAUGCAAGUCGAGCGAACAGACGAGGAGCUUGCUCCUCUGACGUUAGCGGCGGACGGGUGAGUAAAACGUGGAUAACCUACCUAUAAGACUGGGAUAACUUCGGGAAACCGGAGCUAAUACCGGAUAAUAUAUUGAACCGCAUGGUUCAAUAGUGAAAGACGGUUUUGCUGUCACUUAUAGAUGGAUCCGCGCCGCAUUAGCUAGUUGGUAAGGUAACGGCUUACCAAGGCAACGAUGCGUAGCCGACCUGAGAGGGUGAUCGGCCACACUGGAACUGAGACACGGUCCAGACUCCUACGGGAGGCAGCAGUAGGGAAUCUUCCGCAAUGGGCGAAAGCCUGACGGAGCAACGCCGCGUGAGUGAUGAAGGUCUUCGGAUCGUAAAACUCUGUUAUUAGGAAAGAACAAAUGUGUAAGUAACUAUGCACGUCUUGACGGUACCUAAUCAGAAAGCCACGGCUAACUACGUG
RNAcentral lists this ribosomal RNA (497 nucleotides) under uncultured bacterium. RNAcentral describes it as "partial 16S ribosomal RNA". It matches the Rfam family "Bacterial small subunit ribosomal RNA", at positions 28 to 507 of the family's 1533-position model. The record is from RNAcentral.